Molecule: RNA transcript, 4391 nt
Organism: Ostrinia furnacalis (Asian corn borer)
Lineage: Eukaryota; Metazoa; Arthropoda; Insecta; Lepidoptera; Crambidae
Gene: LpR1
Gene name: Lipophorin receptor 1
Exons: 17
Source: RefSeq, a predicted model, not a curated record
ACGCUCGGAGCGCUCGCCCGCGCUCCCGUCCGCGAUUCAACAUCCAAUUCACUCCGCGAGACCUAUUUUAUUUACUUUCGGUCACAUUGCGUUCCUAGUGCUCCAGUUUAAUGUGCUGAUGUAGAAAGUGCGGAGACUAUCGUAUUUAGUGUGAAAACAACUAGUGAAGAAGAAACUACAAAAUGACUAGUUCUGGCGUUAUAUGGUUCACGAUAUGCAUCGUCGUUGUGACCGCUGAAGCAUCGAUAUACGACGACGACUACGAUUCGUAUACUAAGGUGUACGACUACAAAAAUUCAGAAAGUCGGACCUGCACAUCAUCAGAGUUCCGCUGCAAGACAGGACGAUGUGUGCCGAUGUCAUGGCGUUGCGACAACGAGAAGGACUGUCCAGAUGGGUCAGACGAAGAACCUGGAACUUGCAAAGUGGAGGCUUGCGGACCUGAGGAGUUCACGUGCCGAGGGAAACAUGGCGAGUGUGUGCCUCUGACGUGGAUGUGCGACGACAAUCCUGACUGCUCGGACGGAUCCGACGAAAAAGCAUGCAAUGAGACGUGCCGCUCGGACGAGUUCACAUGCGGGAAUGGCAAGUGCAUCCAGCAGCGGUGGGUUUGCGACGGCGACGACGACUGUGGCGAUGACAGCGACGAAGCCAAAUGUCCGGCGCCGACUUGCCAGCCGACAACACACUUCUCAUGCGAAGACGGGCAUUGCAUUUCGGCGUGGUGGCGGUGCGACGGCGAUAUAGACUGUCCCGAUGCCAGCGACGAAAAGGGUUGUGCGACCACGCCGAAAGUGACAUCACCAUGCAUAUCAUCUGAAUUCGAGUGCAAGGACCGCAUGACGUGCGUCCACAAGGCCUGGGUGUGCGAUGGAGACCGGGACUGCCCGGACGGAGGUGACGAGGCUCCCGAGAUAUGCAGAGGGAACAUAACGUGCAGACCAGACCAGUUCCAGUGUAAGGACCACAGCUGUAUACCUGGUGCGCUGUACUGCAACGGCGAUAAGGACUGCCCGGAUGGCAGCGAUGAGUUUAACUGCACGCGCCCGAAACCAGUUUGCGACAAGAAAACGGAGUUUGACUGCGGCGAAGGCAUGUGCAUCCCACUGUCCAAAGUUUGCGACAAGAAACCAGACUGUCCCAACUUCGAGGAUGAGCCGCGGGACAAAUGCGGCGAGAAUGAAUGUGAGAAGAACAACGGAGGAUGCACACAGAGAUGCGUGGACACCCCAGUCGGGUACUACUGUGACUGUGAUAAGGGUUACAAGCUGACGGAUAAUAGGACUUGUGAAGACAUCGACGAAUGCGCAGACCCCGGAGCGUGCUCCCAAAUGUGUAUCAACGAAAAGGGCACAUUUAAAUGCGAGUGCCACGCAGGGUACGCCCGUGACCCCCGUGACAGAACCCGCUGCAAGGCCACCGAAGGCCACCCAUCACUGCUCUUCGCCAGACGCUUCGAUAUCCGCAAGAUCAGCUUGGACCACCACGAAAUGGUUGCUAUAGUCAACGACACAAAAUCGGCGACCGCGCUUGAUUACGUGUUCAGAACGGGGAUGAUCUUCUGGAGCGAUGUCACGGAUGAAAAGAUUUACAAGGCGCCAAUUGACGAAGGCACGCAACGAACGGUGGUCAUCGGAGACCAGCUCAUCACCUCCGAUGGGUUGGCAGUGGACUGGAUAUACAACCACCUGUACUGGACUGACACCGGGAAGAACCACAUCGAACUGUCGGACCUGCAAGGGAACAUGAGAAAGAUCCUGAUCAGGGACAAACUGGAGGAGCCGAGGGCGAUCGCGUUGAAUCCGCUUGAUGGAUGGAUGUACUGGACCGACUGGGGCCAGGUGCCGAAGAUCGAGCGUGCCGGUAUGGACGGCUCUCACAGGCAAACCAUCGUGUCGUACGACGUGAAGUGGCCCAACGGACUCACGUUGGAUCUCGUGCGAAAACGCGUAUACUGGGUGGAUGCCAAAAUGAACACAAUAUCAUCGUGCAACUACGACGGGGCAGCGAGGCGGGUUAUUCUGUAUUCGACAGAUGUGCUUCGCCACCCCUUCUCUAUUACCACAUUUGAAGAUUGGGUGUACUGGACUGACUGGGACAAGACCGCCGUGUACCGAGCCAACAAGUUCAACGGGAAAGAUGUGGAGGCAAUCACUUCUACUCACACGCUCCAAAACCCGAUGGUCAUCCACGUGUACCACCCGUACCGUCAACCGGACGGUGUUAACCACUGCGCAGCCGUCAACGGGCACUGCUCGCAUCUCUGCCUUCCCGCCCCCAGGAUAGGCCCGCACUCGCCUAAAGUCUCCUGCGCAUGCCCCAACGGCCUCAGGCUGUUACCCGACAACCAGAUGUGCGCCGAAGACAAUGCAAUAGAACAAGAUGUGGAGGUGCAAAAGCAGAAAAUUCGUACAAACGAAAGUAUUGUAGAUCAAGAAAAUUCUGUAACCACCAGGCAUGACAAACUCCUUAUUUACAAUCCGGUGAAUAACAUAGUCGCGUGCGAAUGAUUAAGCGAAGGUGUAAAGACAUAUGGUGGAUACAAGAAGAGAAAGGCUUUUACGCCUUCUCUUUAAAUUCGGCCAAGCCGUAUUUAAGAGUGAAGACAAGACUGACAACCCCGAGAAGAUUGGAGAACGAGACUCGACUGCCAAAAGAGAAUCGGAACCAAUGAUGCUGUAUUGGGAGAAGGAUAAAGAAGAAUCAUCAAACCACAAUCAAGCGUACAUAGAUCUGUAUCAAAAGGGCAUUGCUCUGGAAAGGAUACCAGACUCAGUCGACGGGUCCUUUACAGAAUCUCAUUAUAAAUACGACAAAACACUAUCCUACUUGCCAGAAAUCGUCAAUACUUUAAAUGAGGGUGUUCCCGAAUCGCCCAAGAUUGGUACCGGAAUCUCAAGCAGUGGCCGCGAUGCAGGCUAUGUAGCGGGCAUUGUGGUGGCAGUUAUUUCUGGAGUCAUCAUAUUGGCAGCACUGAUCGCAGUGCUUAUGUACCGGCAUUACGUGCAUCGCAACGUCACUUCUAUGAACUUCGACAACCCGGUGUACCGCAAGACUACGGAGGACCAGUUCGCCUUAGAGAAGAAUGGCUACGCACCGGGCAGCAAACUGUACCCAAGCACGGUGGGAGAAGAGGCCCAAGAACCACUCAACACACCCAGUACAAAUGACUUUGUAUAGUGUACAAGCCGGCAGCAAAUACAUUAGUGCGUCAUUAAAUGUGAAAAGAAAAAGAAGGACAUGUGAUACUUAAAUAGUGUGAACCAGUGAAUGGGACAUGAGCUAACAUUUUGUAGUAAACUCUAAAAUAGUUAGCAUUAGUGCAAUGGGACGAGUGAUGCUUAUUGGAACCAAGUUCUGUUGGGCUCGCGUUGGAUGGAUCUCAACCGCAAUCAUUGUCAAACAGUAAUACAGUCGACUGCACUAUACAUUUUCAUUGCAAAAUAACACCUAUUGCAUAAGAAUGAAGUGCGGUCGAAUGUACCUUGAGAUCGUUGAAAGCUUUUGUACUAUGCGUAUCACAUUUAGACAUUAGGUGGGAAGAGUUUUCUAUGAUUUUCUCUUUAGACUGUGAAUAUAAUAGAAAUUCGAAUAUUUUACAAUAUGCCUGGUGCAUUGUAAUUAUUUAUAAUAGAGUUUACAAUUUUUAUAUUCCAAUUUAGUUAAGGGUAUGAUCGCUUAAUAACCUUUACAGUUAUUACAACCACUUAAUUCAGGCACAAAUACGCAUAUCUACGCAGCUUAUAUUUUAUACAGUGAGAUGUACUUAUUUAGCGAGUUUGCAGUUUAGUUCUCAACUUAAAACUUUGUACUGAAUAUACAUAUUUUGAUAAACUAAAAGACGUACUGGUCACUUCAUUUAUUUCGGAUGUUUUCCUAUAGGUAUAAAUUUAUUUAUUUAUUAAUGAAAUGGAUAAAUGACACACUAAAGAAUAGGCUAGUAAAAUCAAUGCUAUAUGUGCCAAAACUAGUGAAAUAUAAAUGUCGCCAAAUCCAUAGUAAUUGGUACUGACCGAUAGCAAAUCUGUAGCGAUAAAAUUUAAGUCACAUACUAUUUGUUGCCCUGUAUUUAUUUGAAUUAUAUAAAAUUGUUGUUCAUUACUAAGGUUUAAUAUUUAUAUUAUAUUUUAUGUACUGGUUGUGUUUACCAUACAAUAUUGUAAUUAAUAUUUUUAUCAUAGUAAUGAUUAAAUUACCGUGUAUUUGGAAUGUGACUUUGUCGUGCAAAAUCCUGCCAAAUCUCCUAAAAUAAUAUUAACUUGUUUGUAAUGUAAUACGAUUACAUUAAAAUAAAUCUUGAUGCACAUUUCAUACAUGCCUAGCUCAAUAAGUGUGGUCACUAAAAUUAUUGUGUAAAUAUUGUCAGUAAAAUAUAUGUAAAAUGUGUUAAA